RNAcentral lists this ribosomal RNA (459 nucleotides) under uncultured bacterium. RNAcentral describes it as "partial 16S ribosomal RNA". It matches the Rfam family "Bacterial small subunit ribosomal RNA", at positions 338 to 795 of the family's 1533-position model. The record is from RNAcentral.
CCUACGGGAGGCAGCAGUGAGGAAUAUUGGUCAAUGGUCGGGAGACUGAACCAGCCAAGCCGCGUGAGGGAUGAAGGUACAGAGUAUCGUAAACCUCUUUUGUCAGGGAACAAAGGCGGGGACGUGUCCCCGGCUGAGUGUACCUUAAGAAAAAGCAUCGGCUAACUCCGUGCCAGCAGCCGCGGUAAUACGGAGGAUGCGAGCGUUAUCCGGAUUUAUUGGGUUUAAAUGGUGAGCAGGCGGUCUGUUAAGUCAGCGGUCAAAGCCCGGGGCUCAACCCCGGCCCGCCGUUGAAACUGGCAGUCUCGAGUUGGAGAGAAGUAUGCGGAAUGCGCGGUGUAGCGGUGAAAUGCAUAGAUAUCGCGCAGAACUCCGAUUGCGAAGGCAGCAUGCCGGCUCCACACUGACGCUGAGGCACGAAAGCGUGGGUAUCGAACAGGAUUAGAUACCCCUGUAGUC